Molecule: transfer RNA, 74 nt
Organism: Sordaria macrospora k-hell
Lineage: Eukaryota; Fungi; Ascomycota; Sordariomycetes; Sordariales; Sordariaceae
Rfam family: tRNA
About the family: Transfer RNA (tRNA) molecules are approximately 80 nucleotides in length. Their secondary structure includes four short double-helical elements and three loops (D, anti-codon, and T loops).
Source: Rfam
GCCCGGCUAGCUCAAUCGGUAGAGCGUGAGACUCUUAAUCUAAGGUUGUGGGUUUCCGACCCCCACGUCGGGCU